UUAGGAAUUGUGGGAGUUGAAGUCCAAAACACCUGGAAGGAGGGCCCAAGUUGGCCCAUGCCUGCACUAUGGAAUGAAUCCACUUUCAAUCCGGUUUUUGCCUCCUACAGAAUUCUGGGCUUUGUAGUUUAGGGUGGGGGUGGCCUGUUAAAGGCUAUCUUAACUAGUUUUGCAUAUUGGCCCUCUCUCCCCCUCCCCCAAAUAUGAGUCUGUUGUUGCUUAGGUUGCUUGUUUAUUAUUGUUUACGUUGUUUUCAUGCUAUUUUAAUAUGUUAUUGUUCAGUUUUUAAUUGUAUGUUGCCUUGGGCUUGGCCCCGAGUCCCCUUCUUCCUCCCUAAUCCCACCCUUUUGCAAUCCCACCCUUCCAGAGAAAGGACCUUUUCAACUUCUGGGCUGCUGUAAAUUUUCCGGGCUGUAUGGCCGUGUUCCAGAAGCAUUCUCUCCUGACGUUUCGCCUGCAUCUAUGGCUGAGGUUGUGAGAAGCAACCCUGAGAAACUACAAGUCGCUUUUGGUGUGAGAGAAAUGGCCAUCUGCAGAGACAUUGCCCAGGGGACGGCCGGAUGUGUUACCAUCCUGUAGGAGGCUUCUUUCACAUCUCUGCUGGAGCUGGAGCUAACAGACGGGAGCUCACCCUGUCUUGAGGAUUCAAACCAUCGACCUUCAGUUCAGCCGGCACAAAGGUUUAACCCAUUGUGCCACCGUGGCUCCUUCCUUUGCAGGUAGAAAUCAAGCUGAUAACCAUAAUUAUGGGAUAGACACAACCUUAAGCACACAAUGAAGCAAGCCUCAUCUAAUGUUUGUUCUUGGCUACCAUCAAGUCAACUUUAUGACGGCUGAAUGAAUGAGACUUCCAAGUCACCCUGUCAUCAGCAGCCCUGCUCAGGCUGUCCUUCUUUCUCUGAAUCUAUUCAUCUGUAAUGAACUCUUUGUCCUUUUCCUGUU
Molecule: non-coding RNA, 942 nt
Organism: Anolis sagrei ordinatus
Lineage: Eukaryota; Metazoa; Chordata; Lepidosauria; Squamata; Anolidae
Source: RefSeq, a predicted model, not a curated record